AGUGAACGCUGGCGGUAGGCCUAACACAUGCAAGUCGAACGGCAGCACAGUAAGAGCUUGCUCUUACGGGUGGCGAGUGGCGGACGGGUGAGGAAUACAUCGGAAUCUACUUUUUCGUGGGGGACAACGUAGGGAAACUUACGCUAAUACCGCAUACGACCUACGGGUGAAAGCAGGGGAUCUUCGGACCUUGCCCGAUUGAAUGAGCCGAUGUCGGAUUAGCUAGUUGGCGUGGUAAAGGCCCACCAAGGCGACGAUCCGUAGCUGGUCUGAGAGGAUGAUCAGCCACACUGGAACUGAGACACGGUCCAGACUCCUACGGGAGGCAGCAGUGGGGAAUAUUGGACAAUGGGCGAAAGCCUGACCCAGCCAUACCGCGUGGGUGAAGAAGGCCUUCGGGUUGUAAAGCCCUUUUGUUGGGAAAGAAAAGCAGCAGGAGAAUCCCCCGCUGUUCUGACGGUACCCAAAGAAUAAGCCCCGGCUAACUUCGUG
Molecule: ribosomal RNA, 492 nt
Filed under: uncultured bacterium
Lineage: Bacteria
Description: partial 16S ribosomal RNA
Rfam family: Bacterial small subunit ribosomal RNA
Source: RNAcentral